Molecule: ribosomal RNA, 1232 nt
Filed under: metagenome
Description: bacterial SSU rRNA
Rfam family: Bacterial small subunit ribosomal RNA
Source: RNAcentral
UAGCUAGUUGGUGAGGUAAUGGCCCACCAAGGCAACGAUCGGUAGCCGGACUGAGAGGUUGAACGGCCACAUUGGGACUGAGACACGGCCCAGACUCCUACGGGAGGCAGCAGUGGGGAAUAUUGCACAAUGGGGGAAACCCUGAUGCAGCGACGCCGCGUGGAGGAAGAAGGUCUUCGGAUUGUAAACUCCUGUUGUUGAGGAAGAUAAUGACGGUACUCAACAAGGAAGUGACGGCUAACUACGUGCCAGCAGCCGCGGUAAAACGUAGGUCACAAGCGUUAUCCGGAAUUACUGGGUGUAAAGGGAGCGCAGGCGGGAAGACAAGUUGGAAGUGAAAUCUAUGGGCUCAACCCAUAAACUGCUUUCAAAACUGUUUUUCUUGAGUAGUGCAGAGGUAGGCGGAAUUCCCGGUGUAGCGGUGGAAUGCGUAGAUAUCGGGAGGAACACCAGUGGCGAAGGCGGCCUACUGGGCACCAACUGACGCUGAGGCUCGAAAGUGUGGGUAGCAAACAGGAUUAGAUACCCUGGUAGUCCACACCGUAAACGAUGAUUACUAGGCGUUGGAGGAUUGACCCCUUCAGUGCCGCAGUUAACACAAUAAGUAAUCCACCUGGGGAGUACGACCGCAAGGUUGAAACUCAAAGGAAUUGACGGGGGCCCGCACAAGCAGUGGAGUAUGUGGUUUAAUUCGACGCAACGCGAAGAACCUUACCAAGUCUUGACAUCCUGCGACGGACAUAGAAAUAUGUCUUUCCUUCGGGACGCAGAGACAGGUGGUGCAUGGUUGUCGUCAGCUCGUGUCGUGAGAUGUUGGGUUAAGUCCCGCAACGAGCGCAACCCUUACUGUCAGUUACUACGCAAGAGGACUCUGGCAGGACUGCCGUUGACAAAACGGAGGAAGGUGGGGAUGACGUCAAAUCAUCAUGCCCUUUAUGACUUGGGCUACACACGUACUACAAUGGCGUUAAACAAAGAGAAGCAAGACCGCGAGGUGGAGCAAAACUCAGAAACAACGUCCCAGUUCGGACUGCAGGCUGCAACUCGCCUGCACGAAGUCGGAAUUGCUAGUAAUCGUGGAUCAGCAUGCCACGGUGAAUACGUUCCCGGGCCUUGUACACACCGCCCGUCACACCAUGAGAGCCGGGGGGACCCGAAGUCGGUAGUCUAACCGCAAGGAGGACGCCGCCGAAGGUAAAACUGGUGAUUGGGGUGAAGUCGUAACAAGGUAA